GUCUGCAGCCGCGCCGCCCUGCGCACGCCCGGUCCCGUGUGAUCUCAGACGCUCAGCAGGGUCGGGCCUGGUUAGUACUUGGGUGGGAGACCACCUAGAAAGACCAGGUGCUGUAGGCG
Molecule: ribosomal RNA, 119 nt
Filed under: Pteropus alecto (black flying fox)
Lineage: Eukaryota; Metazoa; Chordata; Mammalia; Chiroptera; Pteropodidae
Source: RNAcentral